GACGAACGCUGGCGGCGUGCUUAACACAUGCAAGUCGAACGGAAAGGCCCUGCUUUUGUGGGGUGCUCGAGUGGCGAACGGGUGAGUAACACGUGAGUAACCUGCCCUUGACUUUGGGAUAACUUCAGGAAACUGGGGCUAAUACCGGAUAGGAGCUCCUGCUGCAUGGUGGGGGUUGGAAAGUUUCGGCGGUUGGGGAUGGACUCGCGGCUUAUCAGCUUGUUGGUGGGGUAGUGGCUUACCAAGGCUUUGACGGGUAGCCGGCCUGGGAGGGUGACCGGCCACAUUGGGACUGAGAUACGGCCCAGACUCCUACGGGAGGCAGCAGGGGGGAAUAUUGCACAAUGGGCGGAAGCCUGAUGCAGCAACGCCGCGUGCGGGAUGACGGCCUUCGGGUUGUAAACCGCUUUCGCCUGUGACGAAGCGUGAGUGACGGUAAUGGGUAAAGAAGCACCGGCUAACUACGUG
Molecule: ribosomal RNA, 468 nt
Filed under: uncultured bacterium
Lineage: Bacteria
Description: partial 16S ribosomal RNA
Rfam family: Bacterial small subunit ribosomal RNA
Source: RNAcentral